GACGAACGCUGGCGGCGUGCUUAACACAUGCAAGUCGAACGGAAAGGCCCUGCUUGCAGGGUACUCGAGUGGCGAACGGGUGAGUAACACGUGGGUGAUCUGCCCUGCACUUCGGGAUAAGCCUGGGAAACUGGGUCUAAUACCGGAUAGGAGCCAUCUUUAGUGUGAUGGUUGGAAAGUUUUUUCGGUGUAGGAUGAGCUCGCGGCCUAUCAGCUUGUUGGUGGGGUAAUGGCCUACCAAGGCGGCGACGGGUAGCCGGCCUGGGAGGGUGGACGGCCACAUUGGGGCUGGGGUACGGCCCAGACUCCUACGGGAGGCAGCAGUGGGGAAUAUUGCACAAUGGGCGCAAGCCUGAUGCAGCGACGCCGCGUGGGGGAUGACGGCCUUCGGGUUGUAAACUCCUUUCGCUAGGGACGAAGCUUUUUGUGACGGUACCUAGAUAAGAAGCACCGGCUAACUACGUG
Molecule: ribosomal RNA, 465 nt
Filed under: uncultured bacterium
Lineage: Bacteria
Description: partial 16S ribosomal RNA
Rfam family: Bacterial small subunit ribosomal RNA
Source: RNAcentral